GCGAAAGUGGCGAAACGGCAGACGCGCUGCGCUUAGGACGCAGUCCCGUAAGGGGUGGGGGUUCGAGUCCCCCCUUUCGCA
Molecule: transfer RNA, 81 nt
Filed under: Pyrinomonadaceae bacterium
Lineage: Bacteria; Pseudomonadati; Acidobacteriota; Blastocatellia; Blastocatellales; Pyrinomonadaceae
Description: tRNA-Leu
Rfam family: tRNA
About the family: Transfer RNA (tRNA) molecules are approximately 80 nucleotides in length. Their secondary structure includes four short double-helical elements and three loops (D, anti-codon, and T loops). Further hydrogen bonds mediate the characteristic L-shaped molecular structure. tRNAs have two regions of fundamental functional importance: the anti-codon, which is responsible for specific mRNA codon recognition, and the 3' end, to which the tRNAs corresponding amino acid is attached (by aminoacyl-tRNA synthetases). tRNAs cope with the degeneracy of the genetic code in two manners: having more than one tRNA (with a specific anti-codon) for a particular amino acid; and 'wobble' base-pairing, i.e. permitting non-standard base-pairing at the 3rd anti-codon position.
Source: RNAcentral